Molecule: ribosomal RNA, 273 nt
Filed under: uncultured bacterium
Lineage: Bacteria
Description: partial 16S ribosomal RNA
Rfam family: Bacterial small subunit ribosomal RNA
Source: RNAcentral
AACGUAGGGGGCGAGCGUUGUCCGGAAUUACUGGGCGUAAAGGGCGCGUAGGCGGUUAUAUAAGUCAAAGGUGAAAACUCCGGGCUUAACCCGGAGCCUGCCUUUGAAACUGUAUGACUUGAGGGCAGGAGAGGGGAGUGGAAUUCCCAGUGUAGCGGUGAAAUGCGUAGAUAUUGGGAGGAACACCAGUGGCGAAGGCGACUCUCUGGCCUAACCCUGACGCUGAGGCGCGAAAGCGUGGGGAGCAAACGGGAUUAGAUACCCCCGUAGUCC